RNAcentral lists this ribosomal RNA (405 nucleotides) under uncultured bacterium. RNAcentral's name for it is "partial 16S ribosomal RNA". It matches the Rfam family "Bacterial small subunit ribosomal RNA", at positions 28 to 526 of the family's 1533-position model. The record is from RNAcentral.
GAUGAACGCUGGCGGCGUGCCUAAUACAUGCAAGUCGAGCGAAGCGAGGACGGGUGAGUAACACGUGGAUCACCUCCUAUAAGACUGGGAUACCUUAGGGGACGCGGAGCUAAAAAGGACACUUGUAUAUGGAUCCGCGCUGGAGUAGCUAGUUGGUAAGGUAACGGCUUACCAAGGCAACGAUGCAUAGCUGACCUGUGAGGGGGAUCGGCCACACUGGAACUGAGACACGGUCCAGACUCCUACGGGAGGCAGCAGUAGGGAAUCGUCCGCAAUGGGCGAAAGCCUGACCGAGAAACGCCGCGUGAGGGAUGAAGGUCUUCGGAUCGGAAAGCUCUUUUAUUUGGGAAGCGGUACCUAAUCAGAAAGCCACGGCUAACUACGUGCCAGCAGCCGCGGUAAUAC